GUUGUUCCCUUGAGGAGUGGCUUCCGGAGCUAACGCGUUAAGUCGACCGCCUGGGGAGUACGGCCGCAAGGUUAAAACUCAAAUGAAUUGACGGGGGCCCGCACAAGCGGUGGAGCAUGUGGUUUAAUUCGAUGCAACGCGAAGAACCUUACCUACUCUUGACAUCCACGGAAUUUGGCAGAGAUGCCUUAGUGCCUUCGGGAACCGUGAGACAGGUGCUGCAUGGCUGUCGUCAGCUCGUGUUGUGAAAUGUUGGGUUAAGUCCCGCAACGAGCGCAACCCUUAUCCUUUGUUGCCAGCGAUUCGGUCGGGAACUCAAAGGAGACUGCCGGUGAUAAACCGGAGGAAGGUGGGGAUGACGUCAAGUCAUCAUGGCCCUUACGAGUAGGGCUACACACGUGCUACAAUGGCGCAUACAAAGAGAAGCGACCUCGCGAGAGCAAGCGGACCUCACAAAGUGCGUCGUAGUCCGGAUCGGAGUCUGCAACUCGACUCCGUGAAGUCGGAAUCGCUAGUAAUCG
Molecule: ribosomal RNA, 521 nt
Filed under: Pantoea sp.
Lineage: Bacteria; Pseudomonadati; Pseudomonadota; Gammaproteobacteria; Enterobacterales; Erwiniaceae
Description: bacterial SSU rRNA
Rfam family: Bacterial small subunit ribosomal RNA
Source: RNAcentral